Molecule: transfer RNA, 76 nt
Filed under: Sphingomonas sp.
Lineage: Bacteria; Pseudomonadati; Pseudomonadota; Alphaproteobacteria; Sphingomonadales; Sphingomonadaceae
Also listed under: 9 other names
Description: tRNA-Ala
Rfam family: tRNA
About the family: Transfer RNA (tRNA) molecules are approximately 80 nucleotides in length. Their secondary structure includes four short double-helical elements and three loops (D, anti-codon, and T loops).
Source: RNAcentral
GGGGCCUUAGCUCAGCUGGGAGAGCGCCACACUGGCAGUGUGGAGGUCAGCGGUUCGAUCCCGCUAGGCUCCACCA